This is a long non-coding RNA of Psammomys obesus (fat sand rat), 553 nucleotides long. RefSeq lists it as uncharacterized. The record is from RefSeq and is a predicted model, not a curated record. The transcript is spliced from 3 exons. NCBI's taxonomy places the organism in Eukaryota, Metazoa, Chordata, Mammalia, Rodentia, Muridae.
GCCUGUGGAAAUCCGCGCGACUCUGGGGCCGAGGGGUUUCCAGCGGAUUUUUGCGUUGUUUUGUUUGCUCGGUCUCACAGGAGCCUACCGAGGCCUGUCUCUGGAACACCCUGUCAUGGAUCUCGACCCCCAGCGAGGUUCCCACGACUGCGGUUCACGUAGCUGACCUGUGUGCCGCGCCUGAGGGGCCUUUUCGUCCUUGGCAAGCCCGGUGUACUGUCUCAGUGCUGGUUGGAAAGAAUAUCUAUUUUUACCCUAUGGCUUCGCAAACACAACAGUACCUAAAGGGGGGCGGUAGCAAGUGCAGUCCCUGUCAUUAUUAAGUGCGUGCUUAGUGGCAAGCUCUCUGAUGUUCGCUUGAUCCUCAGCUUACAGCUUGACACUCAAGACACCAGUAAUUUGCUAAGGCCAAACAUCAGAUGAAGAAACAGUUCACAUUUGAUCAGGAUGACAGUAGUAGGAGUUGGGAAUUUGGAACCUACUAUAUCUAACUCCAGAUUAACUCCAGUGCUUAUAGUGGGUGUUGCUACACUUUCUUCUGAACAAGCUGGCG